GGUAGUUAUAGAUAGUGGCUAUUGUCUUUCAAUCUGUUAUUUUGUUAUAAUGUAUAGUAGUGGGUUGUUAGUGAUAUGUUAUAUUAUGUAAAGUAGACUAGGUUAUAAUGUAUAGUAGUGGGUUGUUAGUGAUAUGUAGAUGUUAUAUUAUGUAAAGUAGACUAGGUUAUAAUGUAUAGUAGUGGGUUGUUAGUGAUAUGUAGAUGUUAUAUUAUGUAAAGUAGACUAGGUUAUAAUGUAUAGUAGUGGGUUGUUAGUGAUAUGUAGAUGUUAUAUUAUGUAAAGUAGACUAGAUUAUAAUGUAUAGUAGUGGGUUGUUAGUGAUAUGUAGAUGUUAUAUUAUGUAAAGUAGACUACGUUAUAAUGUAUAGUAG
This is a long non-coding RNA of Oncorhynchus tshawytscha (Chinook salmon), 374 nucleotides long. NCBI's taxonomy places the organism in Eukaryota, Metazoa, Chordata, Actinopteri, Salmoniformes, Salmonidae. The record is from Ensembl.